This 459-nucleotide ribosomal RNA is filed under the name uncultured bacterium. RNAcentral's name for it is "partial 16S ribosomal RNA". It matches the Rfam family "Bacterial small subunit ribosomal RNA", at positions 338 to 795 of the family's 1533-position model. The record is from RNAcentral.
CCUACGGGAGGCAGCAGUGAGGAAUAUUGGUCAAUGGCCGGAAGGCUGAACCAGCCAAGUCGCGUGAGGGACGACUGCCCUAUGGGUUGUAAACCUCUUUUAUAAGGGAAGAAUAAAUGCUACGUGUAGCAUGAUGCCUGUACCUUAUGAAUAAGCAUCGGCUAACUCCGUGCCAGCAGCCGCGGUAAUACGGAGGAUGCGAGCGUUAUCCGGAUUUAUUGGGUUAAAGGGGUGCGUAGGCGGUUUUUUAAGUUAGUGGUUAAACGUCGGGGCUUCACCUUGAUUUGCCAUUAAUACGGUGAGAAACGAGUUCAGACGAGGUCGGCGGAAUAAGUUAAGUGGCGGUGAACUGCUGAGAGAUAAGUUAGAACUCCAGUAGCGAAGGCAGAUUACCAGACGGCGACUGACGCUGAGGCACGAGAGCGUGGGUAGCGAACAGGAUUAGAUACCCUAGUAGUC